RNAcentral lists this ribosomal RNA (114 nucleotides) under Pteropus alecto (black flying fox). RNAcentral also lists the same sequence under 1 other name. The record is from RNAcentral. Lineage: Eukaryota; Metazoa; Chordata; Mammalia; Chiroptera; Pteropodidae.
GUCUACAGCCAUGCCACCCUGAACAUGCUUGAUCUAGUCUGAUCUUGGAAGCAGGGUUGGGCCUGGUUAGUACUUGGAUGGGAGACCACCUAGGAAUACCAGGUGCUGUAGGCA